UAUUGUUGGUCUUUCCUUUCAUAGAAGAAGUUCAAGUAGGUAGGUGAAGGUGAAGGUGAAGGUGAAGGUGAAGGUGAAGGUGAAGGUGACAACUGACACACAGACUUCCACUCGGCUUCUCCUCCGAGUUGCAGUUGUAUCAUUUUUGUUGGAGAUGAAUGUCCGUGCCACGUUUAUUAUUGGCGGUUCUGGGCUUAAAUUGUUGCACUUUGCAGCUCACUCAUAGUGGAUUACUGGAUUGGUAGUAUUGGCCCACG
This 257-nucleotide long non-coding RNA is filed under the name Aquilegia coerulea. RNAcentral's name for it is "long non-coding RNA (ACOE_LNC001493)". Lineage: Eukaryota; Viridiplantae; Streptophyta; Magnoliopsida; Ranunculales; Ranunculaceae. The record is from RNAcentral.